RNAcentral lists this ribosomal RNA (494 nucleotides) under uncultured bacterium. RNAcentral's name for it is "partial 16S ribosomal RNA". It matches the Rfam family "Bacterial small subunit ribosomal RNA", at positions 28 to 507 of the family's 1533-position model. The record is from RNAcentral.
GACGAACGCUGGCGGCGUGCUUAACACAUGCCAGUCGAACGGUGAAGCGCCUUCCUUUUUGGUGGGUGUGGAUGAGUGGCGAACGGGUGAGUAACACGUGAGUAACCUGCCCCCUUCUUCUGGAUAACCGCAUGAAAGUGUGGCUAAUACGGGAUAUUCUGGGUCUGUCGCAUGAUGGGUCUGGGAAAGAUAUUGUUUCGGUGGGGGAUGGGCUCGCGGCCUAUCAGCUUGUUGGUGGGGUGAUGGCCUACCAAGGCGGUGACGGGUAGCCGGCCUGAGAGGGUGGACGGUCACACUGGGACUGAGACACGGCCCAGACUCCGACGGGAGGCAGCAGUGGGGAAUAUUGCACAAUGGGCGCAAGCCUGAUGCAGCGACGCCGCGUGAGGGAUGGAGGCCUUCGGGUUGUGAACCUCUUUCGCCAGUGAAGCAGGCCUGCCUCGUUUGUGGGUGGGUUGACGGUAGCUGGAUAAGAAGCGCCGGCUAACUACGUG